AGCGUGAAAUCGAGUAGGGCGGGACACGUGAUAUCCUGUCUGAAUAUGGGGGGACCAUCCUCCAAGGCUAAAUACUCCUGACUGACCGAUAGUGAACCAGUACCGUGAGGGAAAGGCGAAAAGAACCCCUGUGAGGGGAGUGAAAUAGAACCUGAAACCGUGUACGUACAAGCAGUAGGAGCACCUUCGUGGUGUGACUGCGUACCUUUUGUAUAAUGGGUCAGCGACUUAUAUUCAGUGGCAAGGUUAACCGUAUAGGGGAGCCGUAGCGAAAGCGAGUCUUAACUGGGCGCUCAGUCUCUGGAUAUAGACCCGAAACCGGGUGAUCUAGCCAUGGGCAGGUUGAAGGUUGAGUAACAUCAACUGGAGGACCGAACCGACUAAUGUUGAAAAAUUAGCGGAUGACUUGUGGCUAGGGGUGAAAGGCCAAUCAAACUCGGAGAUAGCUGGUUCUCCCCGAAAGCUAUUUAGGUAGCGCCUCGGACGAAUACUACUGGGGGUAGAGCACUGUUAAGGCUAGGGGGUCAUCCCGACUUACCAACCCUUUGCAAACUCCGAAUACCAGUAAGUACUAUCCGGGAGACACACGGCGGGUGCUAACGUCCGUCGUGGAGAGGGAAACAACCCAGACCGCCAGCUAAGGUCCCAAAGUAUUGCUAAGUGGGAAACGAUGUGGGAAGGCUCAGACAGCUAGGAUGUUGGCUUAGAAGCAGCCAUCAUUUAAAGAAAGCGUAAUAGCUCACUAGUCGAGUCGGCCUGCGCGGAAGAUGUAACGGGGCUAAGCA
RNAcentral lists this ribosomal RNA (785 nucleotides) under Vibrio cholerae. RNAcentral's name for it is "partial 23S ribosomal RNA". It matches the Rfam family "Bacterial large subunit ribosomal RNA", at positions 399 to 1188 of the family's 2925-position model. RNAcentral also lists the same sequence under 1 other name. Lineage: Bacteria; Pseudomonadati; Pseudomonadota; Gammaproteobacteria; Vibrionales; Vibrionaceae. The record is from RNAcentral.